Molecule: non-coding RNA, 477 nt
Filed under: Homo sapiens (human)
Lineage: Eukaryota; Metazoa; Chordata; Mammalia; Primates; Hominidae
Source: RNAcentral
ACAUGGGUCUGCAGCUACUGAGCUGACAGCAAGGACUAAAAUGGGAGCACUGUAGAGGAAAAAAAUUUUCAGCCUGACCAAUAUGGAGAAACCCCAUCUCUACUAAAAAUACAGAAUUAGAGGAGAGAAGGUUCCAAGAUGGCCAAAUAGGAACAGCUCCAGUCUACAGCUCCCAGCGUGAGCAACGCAGAAGACGGGUGGCUUCUGCACUUCCAACUGAGGAUAUAUGAUUGUGUGGCCUGACAAUCUCAGAAAGUAAAAGCAAAGAAAUUGAAAGACAUGGAAAGAACUAGGCCGGGACCAGCACUGGGCCUUAAUAACCAGUUCACUGAGAUGCAUUAUCCAUAUGAUUCAAGAGAGAGCCUUUAUUACUCAUCCGACCAAGCUUGCAGUGAAACUUUUUGUAAGAAAAGGAAUGGUGUGUUGAGAAUUAAAAUUAAGUGACAUCACCAACAAAAGAACCUAACUGCCCAUGCC